GGGGUUCGAAGCGGCGAGGUCUUUGGGCACCUCCCAUCCGUGUCUAUUGUACCCUGUUGCUUCGGCGGGCCCGCCGCUUGUCGGCCGCCGGGGGGGCGCCUCUGCCCCCCGGGCCCGUGCCCGCCGGAGACCCCAACACGAACACUGUCUGAAAGCGUGCAGUCUGAGUUGAUUGAAUGCAAUCAGUUAAAACUUUCAACAAUGGAUCUCUUGGUUCCGGCAUCGAUGAAGAACGCAGCGAAAUGCGAUAACUAAUGUGAAUUGCAGAAUUCAGUGAAUCAUCGAGUCUUUGAACGCACAUUGCGCCCCCUGGUAUUCCGGGGGGCAUGCCUGUCCGAGCGUCAUUGCUGCCCUCAAGCCCGGCUUGUGUGUUGGGUCGCCGUCCCCCUCUCCGGGGGGACGGGCCCGAAAGGCAGCGGCGGCACCGCGUCCGAUCCUCGAGCGUAUGGGGCUUUGUCACAUGCUCUGUAGGAUUGGCCGGCGCCUGCCGACGUUUUCCAACCAUUCUUUCCAGGUUGACCUCGGAUCAGGUAGGGAUACCCGCUGAACUUAAGCAUAUCAAUAAGCGGAGGAA
RNAcentral lists this ribosomal RNA (574 nucleotides) under Aspergillus niger. RNAcentral describes it as "eukaryotic LSU rRNA". The stretch from base 191 to 344 matches the Rfam family "5.8S ribosomal RNA". Lineage: Eukaryota; Fungi; Ascomycota; Eurotiomycetes; Eurotiales; Aspergillaceae. The record is from RNAcentral.